AAUAUUGUCUGAUUAUAACUACUCCUUGGACCACUUUGAAGAAGGAAAUCCCAAUCUCAAUCUAGGUUAACUAUAUAUAUAAUUUAAUAUCUUUUACAUCAACUUGCACCGCUAAAAUGUUUUCCCUUUUAUACUAGUCUUUUUAUGUCAUCAACAGUUAAUCCCAAUACUCCAACAAGGACUCAAGGAAGAAAACAAGCAAUCCCAAUAUAACAUAUAUGCAGGGCUUUCUGAUGUAUGAAGAGCAACAAAUGAUCUAUUCUAAUAUAGUUAACCAGGUAAACUUUUUUUUCUUUCUAUCUGAAUAGAAUCAAAGAAAACCAGAAACCAAACAUUCAAAAAAGACCAAACACUAAUCGAAAAAGAAAGGUAACGACAUACAGGUUGACGAUCCAGCUACUUAGGGUGUUCGUAUCAGCUACUGUGGUGAGCCCCAGUUUCCUUCGGGGCGAUAUCAGUCAUGCAGUUCUUACAGCUCUCUAGACAGUUACCUUUUUGUAUUCAUUAGAGGCUUCAUAGACACAGUUCAGACAGUCAGAUAUUUAUUAUGUUAGCCUUGUUGGCAAUUGUUCAGUUUUUUUGGUUUAAGCCAUGUUGGCUACGUUCAGAUAUUUCAGAUUGUCUAAGUAUUUCCGCAUUAUGAUUUCAGUCAGACCUUUAGUAUA
This is a long non-coding RNA of Lycium barbarum (goji berry), 665 nucleotides long. RefSeq lists it as uncharacterized. Lineage: Eukaryota; Viridiplantae; Streptophyta; Magnoliopsida; Solanales; Solanaceae. The record is from RefSeq and is a predicted model, not a curated record. The transcript is spliced from 3 exons.